GUACACGCUGUGACUAGCAUAUCAAUAAGCGGAGGAAAAGAAACUAACAAGGAUUCCCCUAGUAACGGCGAGUGAAGCGGGAAGAGCUCAAAUUUGAAAUCUUAAAGGGUUUCCCUUUACGAAUUGUAGUUUAAAGAAGUGUUUUCUGUUGAGGUUUUGGUAAAAGUUCUUUGGAAUAGGACAUCAUAGAGGGUGAGAAUCCCGUAUUUGACCUUUACUUUCAACUUUGUGAUACACUUUCAAAGAGUCGGAUUGUUUGGGAAUGCAGUCCAAAAUGGGUAGUAAAUUUCAUCUAAAGCUAAAUAUUGGCGAGAGACCGAUAGCGAACAAGUACCGUGAGGGAAAGAUGAAAAGAACUUUGAAAAGAGAGUUAAACAGUACGUGAAAUUGUCAAAAGGGAAGCGUUUGACACCAGUGUUGUUUUUCUGAAAAUCAAUUAAAGAACUGUUUAUGCUAAGUUGUUUAGACUUUAUCAGCUAACUGUUUAGUUUUGAGCUUUUCUUUAAUGCACUUUUCAGUUAACAAGUCAACAUCAAUUUCUUUUGCUGUAAAAAAGCUUGAGGAAGGUGGCUUGAGAUUCGUCUUAAGUGUUUAUAGCCUCUUGCCUAUGCAGUCGGAGAGAUUGAGGUCUGCAGCGUAGAUCCUUCGGGGCUAAAUGCAUUUGUGCUAAGUUAUAAGCAUUUUAUAGACAACUUGUUGACUAUGAUUUGUCUUGUAGCUUACUCGCUUAUGUUAUUUUACCUACGCUUAGGAUGUUGACAGCAGUAUAGACUGU
Molecule: ribosomal RNA, 775 nt
Filed under: uncultured Neocallimastigales
Lineage: Eukaryota; Fungi; Neocallimastigomycota; Neocallimastigomycetes; Neocallimastigales
Description: partial large subunit ribosomal RNA
Rfam family: Eukaryotic large subunit ribosomal RNA
Source: RNAcentral